RNAcentral lists this long non-coding RNA (635 nucleotides) under Ananas comosus (pineapple). Its description in RNAcentral is "long non-coding RNA (ACOM_LNC026210)". Lineage: Eukaryota; Viridiplantae; Streptophyta; Magnoliopsida; Poales; Bromeliaceae. The record is from RNAcentral.
ACCGGUCUCUCAGACAGGGACCGGUUCCCAAGAGCUGGUUUCUCAGGACUUAGCCAUUUUUCCUCAUUUCUCAUUUUUCACGCGUUCGGGGACCGGUCUCUCCUUCAGGGACCGGUCCCCGAGAGCUGAAAACCUGCAGAAUGCAGAUUUCACAAUUUUAGCUCUCGAAAACCUCCCGUAACUCACUUUUGAUCAUUUUAACACCUUCGGACUUUCCGAAGUGUUCCAACCUCGCACUUUGGUCAAUUUGACUAAAGUUCGAUAUUUAUUUUCCAAAUUCUCGGUAUAUUACAGAAAAGACAUGCAAAAUUCUUGGAACUUAAAACUACUUUUAGUUCAUAAGCCAGCCUUUAUAAUUCGUUUCAGUAAGGGUUUUGUGUCGAGAAUAUAAGAGAGAUAAUUGGAAGCAGACAUUUACUUUGCAGAGAGUAAAGAUUCAAAUUAGAUAUUUGUAUUUAUUUUAAAAUUUUUAUUUUAGGAAUUUUAAAAAACAAAUUUAGCCUCCUACUAUUUUCUCGAGUCUCUUACACUUCUCGGGUAGAGAAACGGAAGCCCAACGCGACAAAAGGUUUCAAGUAGGUACUGCGGUCCCACCAGUUUAACGUACCACCUCACCUAAUAGUUAUUGGUGAUAU